CUACAGGCUUAACACAUGCAAGUCGAGGGGAAACGACAUCGAAAGCUUGCUUUUGAUGGGCGUCGACCGGCGCACGGGUGAGUAACGCGUAUCCAACCUGCCCACCACUUGGGGAUAACCUUGCGAAAGUAAGACUAAUACCCAAUGACGUCUCUAGAAGACAUCUGAAAGAGAUUAAAGAUUUAUCGGUGAUGGAUGGGGAUGCGUCUGAUUAGCUUGUUGGCGGGGUAACGGCCCACCAAGGCGACGAUCAGUAGGGGUUCUGAGAGGAAGGUCCCCCACAUUGGAACUGAGACACGGUCCAAACUCCUACGGGAGGCAGCAGUGAGGAAUAUUGGUCAAUGGACGAGAGUCUGAACCAGCCAAGUAGCGUGCAGGAUGACGGCCCUAUGGGUUGUAAACUGCUUUUAUAAGGGAAUAAAGUGAGUCUCGUGAGACUUUUUGCAUGUACCUUAUGAAUAAGGACCGGCUAAUUCCGUGCCAGCAGCCGCGGUAAUACGGAAGGUCCGGGCGUUAUCCGGAUUUAUUGGGUUUAAAGGGAGCGUAGGCCGGAGAUUAAGCGUGUUGUGAAAUGUAGACGCUCAACGUCUGCACUGCAGCGCGAACUGGUUUCCUUGAGUACGCACAAAGUGGGCGGAAUUCGUGGUGUAGCGGUGAAAUGCUUAGAUAUCACGAAGAACUCCGAUUGCGAAGGCAGCUCACUGGAGCGCAACUGACGCUGAAGCUCGAAAGUGCGGGUAUCGAACAGGAUUAGAUACCCUGGUAGUCCGCACGGUAAACGAUGGAUGCCCGCUGUUGGUCUGAAUAGGUCAGCGGCCAAGCGAAAGCAUUAAGCAUCCCACCUGGGGAGUACGCCGGCAACGGUGAAACUCAAAGGAAUUGACGGGGGCCCGCACAAGCGGAGGAACAUGUGGUUUAAUUCGAUGAUACGCGAGGAACCUUACCCGGGCUUGAAUUGCAGAGGAAGGAUUUGGAGACAAUGACGCCCUUCGGGGCCUCUGUGAAGGUGCUGCAUGGUUGUCGUCAGCUCGUGCCGUGAGGUGUCGGCUUAAGUGCCAUAACGAGCGCAACCCCUCUCCUUAGUUGCCAUCAGGUCAAGCUGGGCACUCUGGGGACACUGCCACCGUAAGGUGUGAGG
This 1138-nucleotide ribosomal RNA is filed under the name uncultured bacterium. Its description in RNAcentral is "bacterial SSU rRNA". It matches the Rfam family "Bacterial small subunit ribosomal RNA", at positions 40 to 1169 of the family's 1533-position model. The record is from RNAcentral.